UAGUUUGAUCAUGGCUCAGGAUGAACGCUAGCGACAGGCUUAACACAUGCAAGUCGAGGGGCAGCGGAGGUGAAGGCUUGCCUUCACCUGCCGGCGACCGGCGCACGGGUGAGUAACACGUAUGCAACCUGCCUGCCACAGCCGGAUAAUCGGGAGAAAUCCCGUCUAAUACGGCAUGACACACCUUGGGGACAUCCCCGUGGUGUCAAAGGUUGAUUCCGGUGGCGGAUGGGCAUGCGUCGCAUUAGUUAGUUGGCGGUGUAACGGACCACCAAGACGACGAUGCGUAGGGGUUCUGAGAGGAAGGUCCCCCACACUGGUACUGAGACACGGACUCCAGACUCUACGGGAGGCAGCAGUGAGGAAUAUUGGUCAAUGGGCGGGAGCCUGAACCAGCCAAGUCGCGUGAGGGAAGACGGCCCUAUGGGUUGUAAACCUCUUUUGCCGGGGAGCAAAGCGCCGCACGUGUGCGGCUUGGAGAGUGCCCGGAGAAAAAGCAUCGGCUAACUCCGUGCCAGCAGCCGCGGUAAUACGGAGGAUGCGAGCGUUAUCCGGAUUUAUUGGGUUUAAAGGGUGCGUAGGCGGUCUGUUAAGUCAGCGGUAAAAUUGCGGGGCUCAACCUCGCCGAGCCGUUGAAACUGGUAGACUUGAGUGGGCGAGAAGUACGCGGAAUGCGUGGUGUAGCGGUGAAAUGCAUAGAUAUCACGCAGAACUCCGAUUGCGAAGGCAGCGUACCGGCGCCCAACUGACGCUGAAGCACGAAGGCGUGGGUAUCGAACAGGAUUAGAUACCCUGGUAGUCCACGCAGUAAACGAUGAAUGCUAGUUGUCCGGUGCGAUUGAGCAUUGGGUGACACAGCGAAAGCGUUAAGCAUUCCACCUGGGGAGUACGCCGGCAACGGUGAAACUCAAAGGAAUUGACGGGGGCCCGCACAAGCGGAGGAACAUGUGGUUUAAUUCGAUGAUACGCGAGGAACCUUACCCGGGCUCAAACGCAGGAGGGAUGUUUUUGAAAGGAGGCAGCCAGCAAUGGUCUCCUGCGAGGUGCUGCAUGGUUGUCGUCAGCUCGUGCCGUGAGGUGUCGGCUUAAGUGCCAUAACGAGCGCAACCCCUACCGACAGUUGCCAUCGCGUGAUGGCGGGCACUCUGUUGGGACUGCCUGCGCAAGCAGUGAGGAAGGCGGGGAUGACGUCAAAUCAGCACGGCCCUUACGUCCGGGGCGACACACGUGUUACAAUGGCAGGUACAGCGGGAAGCCACCCGGCGACGGGGCGCGGAACCCGAAAACCUGUCUCAGUUCGGAUUGGAGUCUGCAACCCGACUCCAUGAAGCUGGAUUCGCUAGUAAUCGCGCAUCAGCCACGGCGCGGUGAAUACGUUCCCGGGCCUUGUACACACCGCCCGUCAAGCCAUGGAAGCCGGGAGUGCCUGAAGUGCGUGACCGCAAGGAGCGCCCUAAGGUAAAACCGGUGACUGGGGCUAAGUCGUAACAAGGUAGCC
This 1498-nucleotide ribosomal RNA is filed under the name uncultured bacterium. RNAcentral describes it as "bacterial SSU rRNA". It matches the Rfam family "Bacterial small subunit ribosomal RNA". The record is from RNAcentral.